RNAcentral lists this ribosomal RNA (502 nucleotides) under Candida albicans. RNAcentral describes it as "eukaryotic LSU rRNA". The stretch from base 135 to 288 matches the Rfam family "5.8S ribosomal RNA". The record is from RNAcentral. Lineage: Eukaryota; Fungi; Ascomycota; Pichiomycetes; Serinales; Debaryomycetaceae.
UUGCUUAAUGCACCACAUGUGUUUUUCUUUGAAACAAACUUGCUUUGGCGGUGGGCCCAGCCUGCCGCCAGAGGUCUAAACUUACAACCAAUUUUUUAUCAACUUGUCACACCAGAUUAUUACUUAAUAGUCAAAACUUUCAACAACGGAUCUCUUGGUUCUCGCAUCGAUGAAGAACGCAGCGAAAUGCGAUACGUAAUAUGAAUUGCAGAUAUUCGUGAAUCAUCGAAUCUUUGAACGCACAUUGCGCCCUCUGGUAUUCCGGAGGGCAUGCCUGUUUGAGCGUCGUUUCUCCCUCAAACCGCUGGGUUUGGUGUUGAGCAAUACGACUUGGGUUUGCUUGAAAGACGGUAGUGGUAAGGCGGGAUCGCUUUGACAAUGGCUUAGGUCUAACCAAAAACAUUGCUUGCGGCGGUAACGUCUACCACGUAUAUCUUCAAACUUUGACCUCAAAUCAGGUAGGACUACCCGCUGAACUUAAGCAUAUCAAUAAGCGGAGGAA